RNAcentral lists this unclassified non-coding RNA (271 nucleotides) under Peniophora albobadia. RNAcentral's name for it is "partial internal transcribed spacer region". The stretch from base 1 to 46 matches the Rfam family "Eukaryotic small subunit ribosomal RNA", at positions 1786 to 1831 of the family's 1831-position model. The record is from RNAcentral. Lineage: Eukaryota; Fungi; Basidiomycota; Agaricomycetes; Russulales; Peniophoraceae.
AAGUCGUAACAAGGUUUCCGUAGGUGAACCUGCGGAAGGAUCAUUAGCGAAGUUCGGAAUGCAUGUUCGAUGUUGAUGCUGCCCAGCAACGGGAUGUGCUCGCUCGGAUGUGUGUCCCUUCUCUAUCCACCCCAUUGUGAACCAAGUGUGUGAGCCGAAGAGAAAUCGGACGCUCGCAUGCAAACCUUUAACAUACCCCAAUAAAGUAUCAGAAUGUACCUUGCGUUAACUCGCACAAAUAUAACUUUCAACAACGGAUCUCUUGGCUCUC